AGAGGAAUUCUCAAGAAUAUGAAUUUUCAUCACCAAGAGCUUGAAGGUUUCAACUUAAUCGAGGUAAUGUGGGGAGAUUAUUUCAUGAUGGAUGUUUAAGCUUAGGGAUAGUGGGGAUUUCCUUUGCCCCUUUUCUCGUUUCUCUUGUAUGAUGUUAUUGAUGAAUUACGUGUGCAAAACCUCCAUGAUUAUGUUAAUGAUAUAUUAUGAUUGUGUAUUAUUGAUACUGAUUUCAUUGAUCUUGAUGUGAAAUUCGUGUAAAUCUAUGUUAAGAAUUGAGUUGUUGAUGUUCAUAUGCUAUAUGAUGAAUUGAUGAAGAAAACAUGAAUAUUUGAUGUUAUGUAUAUAUUAGAUUGAUAUUCUUUAAUGUGAAAUCUAUUAUUUAUAUGUGUAAAUCGAAUUUUGGAUUUUAUGUGGCAUGAUUUUGGAGAAAAAUUGGAGGUGUGGAUUUGUUUCCAUGGAGAAAACGCAUAAAACAAAUUUCUUUUGCGGUGACGGGCGUCACUUGCGUAACGGUCCAACCGUCAUUGCAUCGAGGACGAAGAUGCUACACCGCCAGUAGUGAUGGUCAUCACACUCAUGACGGAAGAACCGUCAGCGCCCUGUAACUGACGUUGUUCCCCAUGACCAUCAUCGAUGACAAGUGAGCUUUCUUAAGGGCAACAACCGUAAGGGUCGAGACGGUCAGACCGUCAGCCAUGUUCAUUGGCCGAUUUGUGAUGUUUUGACCGAUUUUUUACAGAGGCUCUGAUUCCCCGACUUAAUUCAUUAUGUUAAGUGAUUAAUUAUUGAGAAAAUGGUUAUAAUUGAUUCUUUUUAUUUAAUUGAUACUCACCUCGCGGCUAGGUCGUGUUCAAGGUUGGUGGUUUUAGGUUUAAGAUGAUCCAAUGUUUAUCCCUAACAGGUGUCGCUACCGGGAUUUCACGAUAACGGAAUCGGGACUAAAGAGAUGCCAAAGAGAGGCAACGUUAGAAGAGUCGCCACCGAAUUUUAUUUAGUUUACCUCUAUCGGAGAGGAAAGGGGAAAUAGUCGAUAAAACCCUCGGAAAAGAGACGCGCACGGGAAGCACUAAAAGAGAAUAAGGAAUCGGUCUCGCAACCGAGAUUUGGGUUCGGAAGUCGGUUACGUAAGGGAAAGGUAUUAGCACCCCUUAUGUCCAUGGUACUCCAUGGGAACCAUUUGGGUUGUUUUACAUACAUGGGAUUUAUCUAUUAUUGUUUUAUUUUCGAAAGAAUGUGUGAGAGAAAGGGAUGUUUUUGUUAUUAUAGUGCUCGCCAAGGAUUUGGGCCCUUGUGCCUACGUAUCACUUAUUCGGGGAUGAGGAAUCAGAGCUUCGUAGUUCGGAGUAGAAAAAAUUUGUGUAUUGGUUGAUUUUACCUUUGAGAAAAGGGUUUUCAGGAUGAUGCCCUAAGGCACAAAAAUGAGUUUGAUGAGUUGUAUUGUUUUUUACCUUGAAUAAGAGUUUUAUGAAAGAAUGUUUAUGAUUAUUUUGUACUAAAGUCUAUGGGCGGAGGUGAUUAUUCUAGACAACAAGCCAAGCGUCUUGCGUCCAAAAUAAUCAGAGUAAGGGUAGGAAUGCUCAAUUCUCUCUCAUUCUCCACCACUUAAGGCUCGUGGCGCACAAUAAUAAUCAUUAUUAUUAAGUGUUUUGAAUUUGAUUAUAAAAAUGCCACUUGACGUUAAAUCAAGGGUUUGUUUUAUUUAAUUAUGAAAUUUGGCUUAUGCAACAUGAAUGUAAAGUAACCAACAAGAACUUAAAGGGUCUCAUUGUAAGGUAGCCCAAGAGAAAGUCUUUUGUGUGCAAAAGUGACCUAAGUUAAACAAAGGAUAAUGGUCUUACAAACAUGUCCCCCUAAGGUGGUGCCAUGAUGCCAUUCUUACAAUAUGCAUGUAAGUUACGGAUGAAAAUCCAAGUGUUUACAAAGUAUCACAAAGAGUAAAGGAAGGCUUCCAAGCAAAGGUCCUAAGAUGAAAUCCUUUAAGUCCAAGUUGGUUAAGAAUGGAGUGAAUAUUUUUGUUCUUUAUCAUUUUAUCAUGUUUUUUGUUAUUUUUAAUGUAUGAUGACAAUAAGAUAAAUAACAAGUAAAUAAACAUGCAUGAUGAGUUUGUAUAAUGAUAAUGAUAAUGAGUACUUGAAUGUAAAUUACAAGGUAAUGACAUAAAAGUAAAUCACAAGAUAAAGGAUGGUAAUAUCACAAUAAUAAUGGUUAGUGAAUGUAAAUGAACAAUAAAAUAAAUUGCAAGGAAGUAAAGUGCAAUAAUGUAAAUGUUAGAAGUUAGUGGUUAAUGGUUAGUAACAAUAAAAUAAAUUGCAAGGAAUUAAAGUGCAAUAAUAUAAAUGUUAGUAGUUAGUAGUUAGUAGAAUAAUAAUAAGCAAAUGGAUUAGCAAGUCAAUAUAGAGAAUAUGGUUUCAUCUAUGCAUCAAAUGACUCAAAUAUGCGUGAAAUAGAGGCAAUUUAUCAAUGCCUCAAAGUAUCAUGAAUGAUCUAUUGAUCAACCAUUAAUAGGUUUGAAACAUUGAAGAUUUAAUCAACUCUAAACAACCAUGGCCAUGAUCUAAUAAAACUCAUCAACCAAAUAAAUGUAACAACAAGUCAACAAUAAAUAUUAAAUGAUAACAAGAAAUAAGGUUUGAUUGAAAAUGGUGGAUAAAAAAUAGUAAGAGCAAAAAAAUCCCCAAAAGGGUGUAAAUCCAACAAAAACCACUUGUCUCAAAGACUCAAAUCUCUCUCAAAAUACAACCCAAGAGUAAAAAUCCAUUUUCAAACACAAAACAAAACCAAAAAUGUUAAGGAGUUUGAGUCCAAAAUAUUACCAAGAUGGUGGUGUCAAAACUAGGUUAUUGUUGUGUUUGGGUUUGAGAAUGAAGCAAAAAGCUUGGAAGAGGGUGGUUAUGGUUGUUGUGGUAGAAAAAUGGAAGGGAAGGAAGUUGUAUGUUUAUGUGGUGGUGGUGAAUGAUUAUGUAAGUGAAGAUUACAAGUUUGCUACUUUUGUUGUGUGGAGAUGGUGAAUUUUUUACAUGGUGGUUGGGUGGUUCAAAGAAGAAAAUAGGGUUUGGAUGAGUUAGGGUUUAGGUUGAAAAGAGGGAGUUUGAAUGUGAUUUGGGCAGAGGUUUUGUGGCUUUCAAGCUUGAAAAAUGAGUGGGGAUAGUGCUCUAUUAUAGAGGAAGCAAAGGGGUUGAAGUGGGUGAACCAAAAGGUCCUUUGGGUAAAAAACAGAGUCAUUUCUGCUGCCUGCGCAGGUGUAAUCGGUUACCCUGAUUAGGGUAAUCGGUUACACAGUCCCAAAAUGGCCAAAAAAUCAGUUUUUGGUCUGGGUAAUCAGUUACCCUGAUUAGGGUAACCGGUUACCCAAUUUAUUUAUUUUUUUGAAAUAAUGAAUGUACGCAUGUGCAGUAGGGUCAUGGAUUAGAUGAAAAUUGUAUCGGGGUAGGGUGAAUUUUGGGGUAUGACAACAGGCAGUGAUUGAUGUGCAUUAUGUUUCGGUUCAAAGAACCAAUGUAUGAUAUGUUUUAGGUUUGAAAGGACCAGUAUUAGCCUUAACCAACAAAGUUGAUAAUUGGUGUAAGAGGCUCAGAUAAAGAUUAUCUGCAUUUGUUUGAUCAUGUAUCAUGUAUAUCGAAGAUUAGCUUAAGACUUUGGUCCAGUGUUUAGGACUUCGGUUCAAUGUGAAGGAUCGCUCGGUAAAAUAACUAUGAUAUCCGGACUUAGGUCCAUUGUUUAGGACU
RNAcentral lists this long non-coding RNA (3728 nucleotides) under Lathyrus oleraceus (garden pea). RNAcentral describes it as "Pisum sativum (pea) long non-coding RNA (PSAT_LNC032489)". The record is from RNAcentral. Lineage: Eukaryota; Viridiplantae; Streptophyta; Magnoliopsida; Fabales; Fabaceae.